Gallus gallus (chicken) is the source of this 1623-nucleotide long non-coding RNA. The record is from Ensembl. NCBI's taxonomy places the organism in Eukaryota, Metazoa, Chordata, Aves, Galliformes, Phasianidae.
AUCUCUUUCUGGAGUUCCCUCUUUGGUGAAGCUUUCCCCUGUGCACCUAGAAUCUUCUGAUACAGAGCUGAGCUGGGAGUCCACCAGGUAUUUUGCCAUCCCCAGCCAGACCAAACUUGAAGGAACGGAUAGAGGUCCUGCAGUCCACUGAUCACUGGGGAGGGAAUAUCAGUUUGUGUCCUGCUCAGGAAUUGUAUCUGCACUGAAAUAGAAGAGAAAACCUUAGAAACCUUGUUGGUGUUUGAUGCUACUGAUGUUUGUCACUAAAUGUGGGAUAUGUAGGUAUUCGAGGCCAGGUUGGAUGGGGGCCUUGGGCAACCUGAUCUGGUGCCUGAUUUUGUGGCUGGCAACAUCAGUAGAGUUGGAACUGCAUGAUCUUUAGGGUCCCUUUCAACCCAACCAUUCUAUGAUUCUAUGAUUUUACUUGGUGAGCUGCCAUGUGAAGUGGAUCAUGGUACUGCAGGAAAAUGGAAGAACCAUUGAAACUACUGAUAUCAUUUGUAUAAUAACAGGAUGUCCAGAUAAUAACAGCAGGCUCCUUGAUGAUUGGGUCCAACAUGGGACUAUAGACAGUAGAAGUGUGAAAGCUUUGGCAAAUGCCCACUUCUUUUUGUAGUUGCUCAGGAAUGGGAUAUGGCUUUCCUACUCAAAGCUAAUUCACACCAAAGUCAGGUUACUUGGGAAAAAAUCAGGAGAAAAGAAAAAGAGGAGGCCAUAAAUCAUUGUAAGGCUUGAGGAGAUCAGAUUGAAUUCCUCAGGACCAUGAGUUUGGGGCCAAACACUGGAAUGCAGCAUGUAAUGAACUUGCUUAUCACCCUGGUGCUGUAUCCAAGAGUUAUUAAUGGGCUCUGGAGUGCUGUGACAGUAACAUGAGCUUGAGAAGCAGCCUAAUAAAAAGAGGCUCCCUGCUCCAGGCAGCACAGCUGGGUCACUUGCAGACACUGCAUCCUCAGCACUGCCUCCCAAAGAGACAACGUUGGAUGUCUGCAGUUCCCAGUGUGUUUCUUCCAUCUCCAUGCCUAGAAGGAUGCUAAUGGCUCCCAUGAUAAUUAGGCUCAGAUUAUUAAGGUAUUAGAGAGCAAAAGAAAGCUCCUUGAAAUCCUGCAAAACUCCACCUGGUACACACUGAGGGGCUGAUAACACCACCCUCUGCAAUGCACAGGUAGGGGACAGGAGGAGCCAAACUAUUAAUCUUUCAUAAUCUAGUUGGAAUUAAGUGACAGUGAUGAAGUACUCUGUAAUGGACUUCCUGAAUCCUCACACAAAUGGAGGAAGUGACCACCCUUGAUCAGAUUUCUGUUCAUUUUGCCUGCUUCCCUGAUUGUAUUGCACAUUUUUCCCUUUUGCUAUCAUCUCCAACCUUGGUGUAGCAGGACUAAGGAAUGAAUACUCCACGAGAAUAUGAGAGCAGUGGUUUUGAGGGGACCAUAGAAUGGCUUGUGUUGGAAGAGACCUCAAAGAUCAUCCAGUUUCAAUCCACGUGCAGCAGAAAAUGAUUUACAGAGUAUCCUCCACCAGAAAUCUUCAGUGCAGAAGGGCUUCUGAUCCCUUCUGCAGAAGGGAUCUCCUAGAAACAGCAAAAAGCGUUAGGCUUUCCCUAUCACAUAGAGCGUAGCCCUCCUG